CCUACGGGCGGCUGCAGUGAGGAAUAUUGGUCAAUGGACGAGAGUCUGAACCAGCCAAGUAGCGUGAAGGAAGAAUGACCUAUGGGUUGUAAACUUCUUUUAUAGGGGAAUAAACGGAUCCACGUGUGACUUUUUGCAUGUACUUUAUGAAUAAGGAUCGGCUAACUCCGUGCCAGCAGCCGCGGUAAUACGGAGGAUACGAGCGUUACCCGGAUUUAUUGGGUUUAAAGGGUGCGUAGUUUGGUUGUUAAGUCAGUGGUGAAAGUUUGCGGCUCAACCAUAAAAUUGCAGUUGAUACUGGCAGUCUUGAGUACAGUUGAGGUAGGCGGAAUUCGUGGUGUAGCGGUGAAAUGCAUAGAGAUCACGAAGAACCCCGAUUGCGAAGGCAGCUUACUAAGCUAUGACUGACAUUGAUGCUCGAAAGUGUGGGUAUCAAACAGGAUUAGAUACCCUGGUAGUC
Molecule: ribosomal RNA, 460 nt
Filed under: uncultured bacterium
Lineage: Bacteria
Description: partial 16S ribosomal RNA
Rfam family: Bacterial small subunit ribosomal RNA
Source: RNAcentral